Homo sapiens (human) is the source of this 660-nucleotide long non-coding RNA. Ensembl annotates it as long intergenic non-protein coding RNA 1474. Lineage: Eukaryota; Metazoa; Chordata; Mammalia; Primates; Hominidae. The record is from Ensembl.
ACUCUCUCUCUCUCUCCGGCCACCAUGUGAAGAUAUGCGUGCUUCCCCUUCACCCUUCUGCCAUGAUUGUAAGUUUCCUGAGGCUUCCCCAGCCAUGCCUCCUGUACAGCCUGUGGAACUGACCUGGGAGAGAAAAAAGCUACCAGCAACAUUCAGACUGAGAGAGGCCAAAAUACUAAUUCAUAAUUAGCCUGGUACAUAUGAAGGAUCAAAAAGAACAGGACUGUAUGUCUGACCUCUGACAGGCCCUACCACCAUAGUAGAGACUCAGUAUGUAUACUUAAUGAAGGAAUAAUGAAUACAUCAGCAAGAGAAAUAAGAGUGACCAUAUGUUCCUUAAGAGAAGCAAAGAGCAGCUCCUGUUCCUGCUGGAAUGAGUCUCCAUUCCUUGCAACAGAAGUGUCCUAAGUUAUAGCCAGAGGACGGGGGCACAUUGACAAAACAUAAAGCGGAUAUGAUAAUAACAAGGUACCAUUCCAGCAAGAACAUCUGAAGAAAGAAGCAGUGUUGUUUAUCUUUCCUUCAUCUAUUCUGAAACUAAAAUCCUUAACCAAAUUUAUUUCCGAAGUUUAACCCUUUAAUAAACUGGCCUCUGACUCCACCUGGUGGAGAUACAUAAAUCUAUGAAAAUAAACCAAUCCAAAUGAAGAUUUUAAAGUC